Molecule: long non-coding RNA, 191 nt
Filed under: Mustela putorius furo (domestic ferret)
Lineage: Eukaryota; Metazoa; Chordata; Mammalia; Carnivora; Mustelidae
Description: lncRNA (ENSMPUG00000031759.1)
Source: RNAcentral
CGCUUUGUCUUUAGGGUGAAAGCUCUGCUAUAUUGUGAGCAGAAUUAAUAUAGACAGGAAGCCAACGAAAUAAAAGAAGGUGGGGGUUUUGUAUAUGAAGAAAAAAAAGAGAAAGAAGCAUUUAGUACAAAACAUUGCCCUCAACUGGAAAUAUGUGCCUGGUUUACUGUCUGUGGAUGUAGCUCCAUGAG